Molecule: non-coding RNA, 217 nt
Organism: Pelodiscus sinensis (Chinese soft-shelled turtle)
Lineage: Eukaryota; Metazoa; Chordata; Testudines; Trionychidae
Source: RefSeq, a predicted model, not a curated record
UACAGAUCCCGUGGAAGGAACAGAUUCACCCGGCAGCUGCAUCCUGCUAAACCCGGCAUGGAGCUCCGAGUCCUCCUCUGUCUACUGGCUUCUCUCCAGAUCCUGCCCCAGCCGGUGUUCCCCGCAGCCCCCCUGCCAGUCCCCACAGUCACUGUGGACCCCCAGUACCCUGUGUAUGUCCCAGAGGAGCGUGUCACCCUCAGAUGCUCGGCCCCCC